Molecule: long non-coding RNA, 371 nt
Filed under: Rattus norvegicus (Norway rat)
Lineage: Eukaryota; Metazoa; Chordata; Mammalia; Rodentia; Muridae
Description: long non-coding RNA NONRATT003901
Source: RNAcentral
AGUAAGUGGAGUGUCUGUCCGAGUGGGCCACAAGUGUAGAAAAGGGCAACUGCCCCUCCAAGGCACAACAUUCCAGCUGUAUUUCCCCUCUGGCCCUAAGGAACCAGCUCCUGAGAGCUGCAGGAAGUUACCAAGCAUCGAAUCACAUCGGUGGGGGAGGGCACUGGGGGAGGGUGUGUAGGGAAGGCUCGUGAUUGUUACAGAAUUUGUAGAAUUGCCUCAAAGGCUGGUCUUGAAUUCCGAGUGACACACUGCUGUGUUCCCAAACCACGUUUCCUCUCUGGAUUCUCCUUUCUAGGUUACCAGUAAGGACAAAGACCUGCACCAGAAGAUCUACCAGAUCAUUAAGGAAGACUGUCAGAAACCAAAUC